GCGGUAGUGGCGGAAUGGCAGACGCACUAGCUUGAGGGGCUAGCGGGGGCAACCUCGUGCUGGUUCAAAUCCAGUCUACCGCACCA
This 86-nucleotide transfer RNA is filed under the name Propionispora sp. 2/2-37. RNAcentral's name for it is "tRNA-Leu". It matches the Rfam family "tRNA". Rfam says of the family: Transfer RNA (tRNA) molecules are approximately 80 nucleotides in length. Their secondary structure includes four short double-helical elements and three loops (D, anti-codon, and T loops). Further hydrogen bonds mediate the characteristic L-shaped molecular structure. tRNAs have two regions of fundamental functional importance: the anti-codon, which is responsible for specific mRNA codon recognition, and the 3' end, to which the tRNAs corresponding amino acid is attached (by aminoacyl-tRNA synthetases). tRNAs cope with the degeneracy of the genetic code in two manners: having more than one tRNA (with a specific anti-codon) for a particular amino acid; and 'wobble' base-pairing, i.e. permitting non-standard base-pairing at the 3rd anti-codon position. The record is from RNAcentral. Lineage: Bacteria; Bacillati; Bacillota; Negativicutes; Selenomonadales; Sporomusaceae.